ACUGGUUCAGUUGGUAGAGCUUGAAACUCUUGAUUUCAAGGUCAUGAGUUCAAGCCUCAUGU
Molecule: transfer RNA, 62 nt
Filed under: Canis lupus familiaris (dog)
Lineage: Eukaryota; Metazoa; Chordata; Mammalia; Carnivora; Canidae
Also listed under: 1 other name
Rfam family: tRNA
About the family: Transfer RNA (tRNA) molecules are approximately 80 nucleotides in length. Their secondary structure includes four short double-helical elements and three loops (D, anti-codon, and T loops).
Source: Rfam by way of RNAcentral